GACGAACGCUGGCGGCGUGCUUAACACAUGCAAGUCGAACGGUGAAGCGCCUUCCUUUUUGGUGGGUGUGGAUGAGUGGCGAACGGGUGAGUAACACGUGAGUAACCUGCCCCCUUCUUCUGGAUAACCGCAUGAAAGUGUGGCUAAUACGGGAUAUUCUGGGUCUGUCGCAUGAUGGGUCUGGGAAAGAUAUUGUUUCGGUGGGGGAUGGGCUCGCGGCCUAUCAGCUUGUUGGUGGGGUGAUGGCCUACCAAGGCGGUGACGGGUAGCCGGCCUGAGAGGGUGGACGGGCACACUGGGACGGAGACACGGCCAAGACUCCUACGGGAGGCAGCAGUGGGGAAUAGUGCACAAUGGGCGCAAGCCUGAUGCAGCGACGCCGCGUGAGGGAUGGAGGCCUUCGGGUUGUGAACCUCUUUCGCCAGUGAAGCAGGCCUGCCUCGUUUGUGGGUGGGUUGACGGUAGCUGGAUAAGAAGCGCCGGCUAACUACGUG
This 494-nucleotide ribosomal RNA is filed under the name uncultured bacterium. Its description in RNAcentral is "partial 16S ribosomal RNA". It matches the Rfam family "Bacterial small subunit ribosomal RNA", at positions 28 to 507 of the family's 1533-position model. The record is from RNAcentral.